RNAcentral lists this ribosomal RNA (253 nucleotides) under uncultured bacterium. Its description in RNAcentral is "partial 16S ribosomal RNA". It matches the Rfam family "Bacterial small subunit ribosomal RNA", at positions 524 to 776 of the family's 1533-position model. The record is from RNAcentral.
UACAGAGGGUGCAAGCGUUAAUCGGAAUUACUGGGCGUAAAGGGUGCGUAGGUGGUCCUUUAAGUUAGAUGUGAAAUCCCUGGGCUUAACCUAGGAAUGGCAUUUAAGACUGAAGGGCUAGAGUUUGGUAGAGGGAAGUGGAAUUUCCGGUGUAGCGGUGAAAUGCGUAGAUAUCGGAAGGAACAUCAGUGGCGAAGGCGACUUCCUGGACCGAUACUGACACUGAGGCACGAAAGCGUGGGGAGCGAACAGG